This 492-nucleotide ribosomal RNA is filed under the name uncultured bacterium. Its description in RNAcentral is "partial 16S ribosomal RNA". It matches the Rfam family "Bacterial small subunit ribosomal RNA", at positions 29 to 507 of the family's 1533-position model. The record is from RNAcentral.
AGUGAACGCUGGCGGUAGGCCUAACACAUGCAAGUCGAACGGCGGCACAGUAAGAGCUUGCUCUUACGGGUGGCGAGUGGCGGACGGGUGAGGAAUACAUCGGAAUCUACUUUUUCGUGGGGGAUAUCGUAGGGAAACUUACGCUAAUACCGCAUACGACCUACGGGUGAAAGCAGGGGAUCUUCGGACCUUGCGCGAUUGAAUGAGCCGAUGUCGGAUUAGCUAGUUGGCGGGGUAAAGGCCCACCAAGGCGACGAUCCGUAGCUGGUCUGAGAGGAUGAUCAGCCACACUGGAACUGAGACACGGUCCAGACUCCUACGGGAGGCAGCAGUGGGGAAUAUUGGACAAUGGGCGCAAGCCUGAUCCAGCCAUGCCGCGUGGGUGAAGAAGGCCUUCGGGUUGUAAAGCCCUUUUAUUGGGAAAGAAAAGAAGCAGGUUAAUACCCCGCUGUUCUGACGGUACCCAAAGAAUAAGCACCGGCUAACUUCGUG